GACGAACGCUGGCGGCGUGCUUAACACAUGCAAGUCGAACGGAAAGGCCCUGCUUGCCGGGUACUCGAGUGGCGAACGGGUGAGUAACACGUGGGUGAUCUGCCCUGCACUUCGGGAUAAGCCUGGGAAACUGGGUCUAAUACCGGCUAGGAGCCAUUUUUAGUGUGAUGGUUGGAAAGUUUUUUCGGAGUAGGAUGAGCUCGCGGCCUAUCAGCUUGUUGGUGGGGUAAUGGCCUACCAAGGCGGCGACGGGUAGCCGGCCUGAGAGGGUGGACGGCCACAUUGGGACUGAGAUACGGCCCAGACACCUACGGGAGGCAGCAGUGGGGAAUAUUGCACAAUGGGCGCAAGCCUGAUGCAGCGACGCCGCGUGGGGGAUGACGGCCUUCGGGUUGUAAACUCCUUUCGCUAGGGACGAAGCUUUUUGUGACGGUACCUAGAUAAGAAGCACCGGCUAACUACGUG
RNAcentral lists this ribosomal RNA (465 nucleotides) under uncultured bacterium. RNAcentral's name for it is "partial 16S ribosomal RNA". It matches the Rfam family "Bacterial small subunit ribosomal RNA", at positions 28 to 507 of the family's 1533-position model. The record is from RNAcentral.